GAUGAAGAACGCAGCAAAAUGCGAUACGUAAUGUGAAUUGCAGAAUUCAGUGAAUCAUCGAGUCUUUGAACGCACAUUGCGCCCUCUGGUAUUCCGGAGGGCAUGCCUGUCCGAGCGUCAUUGCUGCCCUCAAGCACGGCUUGUGUGUUGGGCCCCGCCCCCCGAUCCCGGGGGGCGGGCCCGAAAGGCAGCGGCGGCACCGCGUCCGGUCCUCGAGCGUAUGGGGCUUUGUCACCCGCUCUGUAGGCCCGGCCGGCGCUUGCCGAUCAACCAAACUUUUUUCCAGGUUGACCUCGGAUCAGGUAGGGAUACCCGCUGAACUUAAGCAUAUCAAUAAGCGGAGGA
RNAcentral lists this unclassified non-coding RNA (345 nucleotides) under soil metagenome. RNAcentral's name for it is "partial contains 5.8S ribosomal RNA, internal transcribed spacer 2, and large subunit ribosomal RNA". The stretch from base 1 to 120 matches the Rfam family "5.8S ribosomal RNA", at positions 35 to 154 of the family's 154-position model. The record is from RNAcentral.